ACUCAGGCUUCUGCUGGUUGUGACGCCAUCAUCCUCUCCCGCACCCAACACCGAGCCACACUACACCUCCUCGUUAUACAUGGACACAAUUAUCCCUCUAAUCGUGUUUUUAUCGUUGUAAAUAUUGAGGGGAUGAGACCAGGGCCAUAUUGGUGUUGCAGUUUGAGAUAAUUGCUAUCAUUAACUCCCUAACCGCAGAUAAUGUUGAGAUAAUAACAGUGUACCAACCGUGUGACUCUUGAACAUAACUGACCGCUGUGACCUGAAGGAAUUAUUACCCAGUUAAAGGGCCGGAUAACAUGAAAAACAGAUCCGGCUGAGACUUUCUUUCCGUAGAGCGACACUGAAGGGGUUACCUUACGUGGUGUUGCUCCGUGUCCCUUGUGAGGGGGACCCGUGUGUGUGUGGUGCAGGGUGGUGAUAGUCACACACCCACCACCACCAUCAUCAUCACUACCACCACCGAAGGAAACAAGGAUGUGUGUGUAGCCUGAGAGAUCUGGAGGCCACACCACCACCACUACUACUACCACAAUCUACCACAACUACCAGUACUACCACAACUACCAGUACUACCACCACCAUGAUUGUGAUCAGAAGAGAAGCCCGUCAUGUCGGUGUCGUCCAUUAUCCACGGGUCCCAACAACGAUCUUGGACCCCAGGUGAGUUUUACGGAGAGGACCACAACAGUGCUAUACUCAGGU
Molecule: long non-coding RNA, 705 nt
Organism: Homarus americanus (American lobster)
Lineage: Eukaryota; Metazoa; Arthropoda; Malacostraca; Decapoda; Nephropidae
Exons: 3
Source: RefSeq, a predicted model, not a curated record